Non-coding RNA from Pelobates cultripes (western spadefoot toad), 217 nucleotides. Lineage: Eukaryota; Metazoa; Chordata; Amphibia; Anura; Pelobatidae. The record is from the annotation of a GenBank genome assembly.
GCCCUGUCCAACGUCCCUUUGAUGCGGUGCAGUUGUCCUAUCCCCUUAGCAGAAAAAAACACCCCCAAAACAUAAUGUUUCCACCUCCAUGUUUGACAGUGAGGUAAUAGGCAGCAUUCCUCCUCCUCCAAACACGGUGUGUUGAGUUGAUGCCAAAGAGCUUGAUUUUGGUCUCAUCUGACCACAACACUUUCACCCAGUUCACCUCUGAAUCAUU